This 253-nucleotide ribosomal RNA is filed under the name uncultured bacterium. Its description in RNAcentral is "partial 16S ribosomal RNA". It matches the Rfam family "Bacterial small subunit ribosomal RNA", at positions 524 to 776 of the family's 1533-position model. The record is from RNAcentral.
UACGUAGGGUGCAAGCGUUAAUCGGAAUUACUGGGCGUAAAGCGUGCGCUGGCGGUUUUGUAAGUCUGUCGUGAAAUCCCCGGGCUCAACCUGGGAAUUGCGAUGGAGACUGCAAGGCUGGAGUCUGGCAGAGGGGGGUAGAAUUCCACGUGUAGCAGUGAAAUGCGUAGAGAUGUGGAGGAACACCGAUGGCGAAGGCAGCCCCCUGGGUCAAGACUGACGCUCAUGCACGAAAGCGUGGGGAGCAAACAGG